RNAcentral lists this ribosomal RNA (330 nucleotides) under uncultured eukaryote. Its description in RNAcentral is "partial 18S ribosomal RNA". It matches the Rfam family "Eukaryotic small subunit ribosomal RNA", at positions 1470 to 1796 of the family's 1831-position model. The record is from RNAcentral.
CCCUUAGAUGUUCUGGGCCGCACGCGCGCUACACUGAUGCAUUCAACGAGUCUAAAACCUGGUCUGAUAGGGCUGGGUAAUCUUUUGAAUGUGCAUCGUGAUUGGGAUAGAUGAUUGCAAUUCUUCACCUUCAACGAGGAAUGCCUAGUAAACGCAAGUCAUCAGCUUGCAUUGAUUACGUCCCUGCCCUUUGUACACACCGCCCGUCGCUCCUACCGAUUGAAUGUUCCGAUGAAUACCAUGGACUGAGAGUAUGAAUGGGUUCGCCUAUUUCUGCUUCUCGGGAAGUGGAGUAAAUCUUAACAUUUAGAGGAAGGAGAAGUCGUAACA